RNAcentral lists this ribosomal RNA (228 nucleotides) under uncultured bacterium. RNAcentral describes it as "partial 16S ribosomal RNA". It matches the Rfam family "Bacterial small subunit ribosomal RNA", at positions 103 to 334 of the family's 1533-position model. The record is from RNAcentral.
CGGGUGAGUAAUAUAUAGCUAAUCUGCCCCUUGCUGGAGGACAACAGUUAGAAAUGACUGCUAAUACUCCAUACUCCUUUUUACCAUAAGAUAAAUCGGGAAGGAAUUUCGGCAAGGGAUGAGACUAUAUCGUAUCAGCUAGUCGGUGGGGUAACGGCCUACCGAGGCUAUGACGCGUAACUGGUCUGAGAGGAUGAUCAGUCACAUUGGAACUGAGACACGGUCCAA